Molecule: ribosomal RNA, 531 nt
Filed under: uncultured bacterium
Lineage: Bacteria
Description: bacterial SSU rRNA
Rfam family: Bacterial small subunit ribosomal RNA
Source: RNAcentral
CCUUGACAUACUAAGAACUUUCCAGAGAUGGAUUGGUGCCUUCGGGAACUUAGAUACAGGUGCUGCAUGGCUGUCGUCAGCUCGUGUCGUGAGAUGUUGGGUUAAGUCCCGCAACGAGCGCAACCCUUUUCCUUAUUUGCCAGCGGGUCAUGCCGGGAACUUUAAGGAUACUGCCAGUGACAAACUGGAGGAAGGCGGGGACGACGUCAAGUCAUCAUGGUCCUUACGGCCAGGGCUACACACGUGCUACAAUGGUCGGUACAAAGGGUUGCUACCUCGCGAGAGGAUGCUAAUCUCAAAAAGCCGAUCGUAGUCCGGAUCGCAGUCUGCAACUCGACUGCGUGAAGUCGGAAUCGCUAGUAAUCGCGGAUCAGAAUGCCGCGGUGAAUACGUUCCCGGGCCUUGUACACACCGCCCGUCACACCAUGGGAGUUUGUUGCACCAGAAGUAGGUAGUCUAACCGCAAGGAGGACGCUUACCACGGUGUGGCCGAUGACUGGGGUGAAGUCGUAACAAGGUAAGCGUAGAUGA